RNAcentral lists this long non-coding RNA (6129 nucleotides) under Equus asinus (donkey). RNAcentral describes it as "lncRNA (ENSEASG00005027144.1)". Lineage: Eukaryota; Metazoa; Chordata; Mammalia; Perissodactyla; Equidae. The record is from RNAcentral.
CUCGUCCGUAUUGCCGCCGGGUCCGCAGCCCCGCAGUACUACAGCCAGGCCGCUCUCCCCCCACCCGCGUUCGUGGCCUUCGAGAGCCCGACUGCACCAUCUCUGCCUGGUCCUGAAGGAGCAGCUGCCACCAGCACCUUCUCAGGGGCUGGGCCAAGCCGAACCGCGCAGCCGACACCCACAGUGCUGCAGGCCCUGGCCAGCUGCAGUUGGAGGCACAGUGCCAUCUAGCGGAUAAAAGAAAAAAGGCUCCAUCGCUUUUUUUUUUAAGUUACUGGAGAACCAUAGACCAAAGAAUCAGCUGUCUUUAUUUGCUACCAAAGGAGCUUGAUAACCAGAGAAGGAAAUGGAUUUCCUGAAUGUCACACAGCCAGCUGGUGGCCGCAUUGAUACUACAGAGCCUCAUCAUUUGAGCCUUGGUCCAGCAUUCUCCGCACUAUACCACAGUAAAGAAACCAGAGGAUAAAAGAGCUUCUAGUUUUGGCUGAGUGGCAUUUCAGACCUCUGCUGAGGUGGAGGUGAACACAAGCGGGGGCCAGCGUCUGAAGAGAUGGUGUCAGUUAUUCACUAUCGAAUGCCUUGGCUGGACUCUCUCAGUCAUGGGUGCAAGGCCAGAGCAAAUUCAGUUGUCCACCCUGCUCUCCCUCCCAGCAAAUCUGCCAUGAAACUCAGCACAAGAUAAGACCAGAUGUUGACUGGAAACAUAUGGCGAUGCUUUGGGAUCAAUCCUGUUUCUCAUGGAUAUCCUAAAACAGCAAAAGGCUUUCUUGGCUGUGUUCCCUUCCUUCAGAGGCUGGCCUUCCUUGACUCCCGGACCAUCAUUCCGGCAGGCAAGAUGAGCCCAUCCUGCCUUACACUGAAGGUCACUGGCAGAGUCCUGAGCUGUAAAUGUGAGCAUGAAGGGUGUGCUCUUAACUGUUAAACUCACUCCUUUCAUUUAAUUUCUUUAAAGCUAAUUAGAGCAAGGGAAACUUUUAAUGCCAUUUGUUUUUCUAACCCAGGGAAUCUGACUCAGGGACUUCUGUGGCCUGGAAUGUCCUGAACCGGCCAAGAUUUGACAGAGCCUUCGGUGCCCAGGGCACUGUCUGAGUCACAGAGCAGCAUCGCACAGCCUAGUUCACCCCGGGCAAAAACGUUCCAAGUUCUCUGGAUGAACAGCCUACAGAUGCCCAGCACUGAAGGCCUGGGUCUGGCAGCCCCCAAACAGAAAGCCCACCCCAAGGGAGGUCCUGCUUCGACACCUCUCCACCGUCACUGUCCUGCCCUCCAAAAUUCACUCUCCUCCAAAGCACUUGGUUAAAACUGGGCUUUGUCGCGCUGUCAGGAGUCUGUUGAGCUGUAGAAGCACAGACAGUCCCACUUUUCAGCUCAGCACAUCCCUGGAAAAGGGGCUCUAAAGAGGACCUUCAGGAUGUCGAUCAUAUUUUCUUAUAGGAACGCUCUUCUAAUUGGGGUGCGUUUCUAACCAGAGUCGUGGCUUCAAAUGAAUCACCGUGAUUUCCAGCAGCAUGUCAUCAAAGCCAAUAUGUCCCCAAACCUCUGUAAUCAUCUAUCAGAAGAAAAUCUCUGACAAGCCUUUUUCUCUUGAUGCUGGCAGAGCCCUCAGCUCAUUACUCAGUGUUCCUGAGCUGAGCUCUCCCUCCCCGCCGCACGGGCUGGAGCCCUUUCUUUCCUCUCCUGCCCUUGAUCUUGAGGCUGUUAGCCCCCUCGUUGUUCCGCACUAGCUGGCUCUUCUCCUUUCUUCACUGAAUUCCUUUAGCUAAAAGACCUUUGAACAAUUUACGAUUUCAGUGCUCUCCUUUCCCGCCAACCCCCACAUUUGGCAUAACCCACGCUGUGACGAGCAGCACCCCAGAUCAUCAUGACCCCGUCCCUCCCCGCAUUACUGAGCCUGGACUGUGAUUAGCAUAUAAAGAAAAUCCCUGUGCAGUGCUCUUACAGGUUGGAGCCCUCCAACAGUCUGAAUAUACCCCAAUUCGCUCCGCCUUAAGGGGACAGGGUAGCUAAAAAGGGCAUUCAUUCAUUCCAAAGGUAUUUAUUGAUUUCUAUGUGCCAAGUACUUUCCAAGUCACUUGGGAUAUAGCUGUGAAUAAAACAGAUAAAAAUCCACUUGGGGCUCGAGUGAGGAUGUAAUGAGCAGGAAGAUAAUUGGCUUGGAAGUCUGAGGAGCUAGUCUAGAUGCUUCCACUAACCGGCUAAGUCACUUCUGCCUCUCUGAUCCAGUCUCCUCAUCUGGAGAAUGAAAAGAUUGGACUUGGUCCCAGACAAGGACUCACCCCUGUGACCAUCUAAGGGCUCUUUGGUUUGUGACCUUUCUUAUACUCUAGAAUCUUCGGCUUCCCAGCCAAGCGAGUAGAGCUCCCUGCGUCUCCUUAAGUGGGGCAUUCACGCCGACUCCACUCUCGACCCUCGCAAUUCUUUUCUGCUUUGACCGUUCUUUGGUCCUAAGAAAGAGAGAAGAGAGAGCCCUCUCCAUCAGGUUCGCCUGCCUGCCUUUCCCUCUUGUUCCCCCCGCAUCCUCCCCUCUCCACUCCCAUGUGGUCACAAACAUUUGUCAAGAACAAAUGACCUCUUCUUCAAAGACGGUUGUUGUGGGCGGGAUGCCUCUUUGGGGUCACUGUGAUGCCUUUGGGGGCAUCUGUUUUCCUGGGCAUGCUCGAGGAAGCCAGCGAACAGAUCACAGGGAGGAUGCGGUACAGUUGGUGCAACAGAACCACUGGAAACCAAUUAACAGACUGAAAACCAGAGAAAGGACGGCGGCCAAAGAACAGGCACCCCGUGGUAAACAAUUACCAGUGUGGGCAGGGACAGCGAUGUAGGUCAGCUCGCAGCCAGGAAAUAGUUUUACAAGUGCGAAAUGUGAAUCCCUUCUGGAAGCAGAAUCUGGGUAGAGGUUUUCUUUCUAUAUUUGGGCAGAUGACCACCUGGUUGUCCUGCAACUCCCCUCGGUUUCUGAGCAGCUGGUCUUGGCUACCACCUCCCUCCAAAAGAAAACGGCUCAGGGGCCUUCUAACCUUGACCUUGACCUUGAUGGUCACGAGAGAGGGAUGGGAGGCUAGAUCCUGCUUUAUAAGCUAGGUCCCCACAGGGUGCCUGUAUUGUACUCUCACCUUCUGAGGACGCUGGAUGCUUUCCGUCACAGCUGUGGUACAUUCUUUGUUUUUGAGAGCAGACCUUUCAGCACCUACGGCGCUUGGAAAGAUUUACCAGUUUCAGAUGAAUAUCCGGGGAACCCUGAAAUUAAGAUCAACACCCAAGCUUUAAGGACGAUUCUGGCAGGGGUUUGGUCAAGGGGAAACAGGAGACUUGGGGGUUCAGAUCCAGCUCGGUGUGCGAUCGAGUCCUAGGAGCACUCGGGUGCUCACGCCCAGAGGCUCAGGUCGGGAAGAGCCACUGAGACCUUUGACCUCCGAACUGGAGCCCCAGCUUUUACGGUGGACGAAGUGCUUCCACAUUCAUUCUGUCUUGGUUCCUCAGAACAGACUGGAAAGUGGGCAGGGCAGGUGUUAACAGCUCCACUUCGUAGAGAAGGAAACUGAGGCCAGAGAAGACUCCGGACAUGCAUUUGCUGAGCUGUACGUGACAGUGAAGACUGGAGGGAGGUCUCCCAGGGCCGAGGUGGGCGUCUUUCUACCACCUCGCAGUGUGUUGGGGGGUCUUCUGAGCGGCCUGGGUCAGACAAGGCAGUUGUGCUGGUGAAAGCGUAUUUCUGGUAUCUCUCGUUAACCUUAUCCUAGGAAAUACUUUAGGUUUCCUAGGAACUCAUGGGAGGCUGAUCCUGACCUAUGGCUGCGUAGAGGCACCCAGCCCACUAGAACCCACUGUCCCUGAGGCCAGAGCCACAGAACCCUGAUGGGCAUUUCUCUAGGUGGUUCUUGACUCUGCUUCCACAAGACCAGAGAGGAAACUACACCCUCUAAAUCCCCACGGCUCCCCAGGGAAACAACAAUUGUGUUUACCAAGGACUUCAGGAGCUCCACUCUCUGGUCCCCAGGCUGGUGCAGCUUUGCCCCGAGGCUGCUUUCCUUCCCGACCACCCUUGGCCUCUGGUUUAUGUGGACGUGUUGACCAGACCCUGAGACCCUCUCCUUCUCAGGCACUGCGUAGGGCAGCUUUUUGGGCAUACUACCCUCGUGAUGGUUGAACUUUCUGCUGGUCUUUUCAUAGAAGAACAAAGAACUGUCGUCCUCAACUUAGCGACAUAAACCUCCACCCAUGACAAACACCUGUUCCCAGCUAGUCAUGGAGCAUUUCUUAAAAUGGUACGUGAGAAAGUUUGCAAAAGCAGUGGUCUGGAAUCCUUCUGGUCUUAGUUAACUUUGCCAGCUGAGUUGUCUUCCUAGGUGAAUAACAGGAGAGUAUUGCUUUGACUCAUCUCUAGCCAGCUGGACGAGCUGUAGCGCACACUGGCACCCCCAAAUAUUGUUGCAUGAGGCAAAUGCUUGGCGUGAAACAAUUCCCCUCCAAGCCCUUUCUGGGGCCUCAUUCCAGCGGGGUAACUGUUGGGGUGAAGGAAUUCAUUGUGCGGAGGAGUUCAAUGUCUUUUUUUAAACCAGGAAUUGAGAAGUGUGACUAAUGAGCACGCUGUAAAAGCCACAGACCACCUCAUUAAAUGUUGGAGCCAUUUCCCAGGCUGGGUAGAAAUGAAAAUCCCCAAAGAAAGACCACCCCGCCAAUUAAUGAAGAGCUUUUCCUCAGUGUGAUGCAUAUUUAGCAGACAUUUUUGAUAGACAAAGAGCGUUUACCAGAAGCCUUCAAAAAAGCCCCCUGAUUUCUGAUGGGAUGUGGAGGGAUGAGAGAAAGAGGAGGAAGAGAUUUCUCUGCAUGGUGUACCGGAUGUUAGCAAAGAGCAGCUGGUUUGAGAUUUCAGGGUUCAGGUGAUUCUGGACUGUUUCUCCUUCCCUGCAAGGACCCUUCUGUCAUGGUGGGUUUUGCUUACUCUUCUAGGGCCUGCCCCUAGGGUUGUUGAAGGUUACAAGAGAGAAUCCACAAAAAGCUUGUUCUCAGUGCCUGGUGCACAGCAAACGUUGAGGGUAUUUGUUGCCCGUGUCACUCAUCACAUCAACAUUACGGGAGGAGAUGUGUCCCUUUUUGUGGGUGAGGGAACAGAGGCAGCGGUCAGGGAGCGCUGUUGCCCAUGGCCACUGCACAAGGUCUCAGCUACACUCGGGCUGAUCUUUCCAGGCCAGGCUGAGUGGAGGGACAGUGACGGAGAGAGCUCAGGCUGCACGUCGGUGGGCUGCUGGUCAGUCUUGUUCCACUGUAGUCCCAGCCCUCCCGUGCAUUUCAACCAUCUGGGUUGUGCCAAGACAGCACUGCUGACCCGCUAGCAUUGUUGUAAAUACAAAAGCUCCACACUGUCCUUUAUAAAGAACCCUAUUACUUGGCUAGUGGCUUGGAGUAAGGCCAUGCUUCAUGCUGCAACAGGCUUAGCUCAGGCCCUCGGAACUGGUCUCCCUGCUUCCAGGCUGUCUCACCCUCCUCUACCCUUCACACAGCCACCAAGAGGCCUUUCUAGAACCAUCUUCUGAUUUGGGUCAUGAUACACCCCUAUUUUAAAGUUUCUGCUGGCUCCCCUUUGCCUACAAGGUCAAGUCCACACUCCUCAUUGUGGCCUUCAGAGCCCUUUAUAAUCACCCCACCCACCAUCCCCAGAAGGACACGCUCUAGUCACUCUGAACUCACCCUUCAUGGUAGGGCAGGCCCUUUCCUGACUCCAGACUUCUGCCCAUGCUCUUCCCACCACCUGAAGGCCACCCCUACCCACUUCUCCGCCUGGCAAACUCCUGUUUCAUCAUUCAAGACCCAGCUGCAGGAGCACCCCCUCUGGGUGGCCUUCCUGACUUUCUCCAGCAGAGGUUCACACUCUCCUCUGCGAGCAGGAGCCUGCUGCUGGUGCCGAGACGUUUCCUGGUAUUCAAGAGCGGGCCCCUGCCCCCCACCAUCCCCACUUCUGCACAGGGCUGGGGUCCCGCUGAACGGUGUAGCCUGGCCUGGACCAUGCUUCCAAACUUGUCACCUGCUGUCCACGUCAACCUCCUUAGGAGACACAGUGUGAAUAUUUACACCAGAAAUUGUCCUAGACAUGGAAAUUGUGUAACUGACGAUUAGGGGAUAAAAAACACUGUU